CCCUUAGAUGUUCUGGGCCGCACGCGUGCUACACUGAGUGGAUCAGCGGGUCAGGUUGCGCGAAAGCGUUUCCUAAUCUUUAAAUCCGCUCGUGAUGGGGAUUGACGGUUGCAAUUUUCUGUCAUGAACGAGGAAUACCUUGUAAGCGCGGGUCAUCAUCCCGCGCUGAAUACGUCCCUGCCCUUUGUACACACCGCCCGUCGCUCCUACCGAUUGGAUGAUCCGGUGAGCUAUUCGGACUUUCGCAUUGUCGAUUUUCGGCUUUACGAGGGAAAGUCUCGCGAACCUUAUCAUCUAGAGGAAGGAGAAGUCGUAACA
This 318-nucleotide ribosomal RNA is filed under the name uncultured eukaryote. RNAcentral describes it as "partial 18S ribosomal RNA". It matches the Rfam family "Eukaryotic small subunit ribosomal RNA", at positions 1470 to 1796 of the family's 1831-position model. The record is from RNAcentral.